Molecule: long non-coding RNA, 1167 nt
Filed under: Gallus gallus (chicken)
Lineage: Eukaryota; Metazoa; Chordata; Aves; Galliformes; Phasianidae
Source: RNAcentral
CACCCCGGCGCCGCGGUGAGGCGCCGCGCAUAUCAACGAGCCGCCCCCCCGCCGGCCUGCCGGCCCCGCCUCCUCCCGCCGGCCUGCCCGCCGACCCCAGGCAGCCGUUGGGCCGCUCGGCCGCCCGCGGGUUGCCAUGGCAACGGCGGGGCGGCGGGGCCUGCGGGGUGGUGGCCGCCCUGCCCUGCCCUGCCUUGCUCUGCCGCUUCGCGCUGCCCGGCCCCGCGGCGCUCGACUCUGCCGCCGUUUGCCCGCUGCGAUCAGAGCCGGGCGUAGCGGCUCGGGCGGCGGCAGGCUGCGGUCCCCGCGUUCAGCAGGGCAGUCAGAGGAGAUGGCGGCGGUCCCAGCACCUGCGCGCUGCUUUCCGAGCCGUCCUCAACGUCUCCGAGCAAAGGGCUUUCCCCCCCAGGCCGCGGGCACGCAGAUGCGUUUCUGCUUCCAUACCCCUGCUAUGUGAACGUUAGGAAAGCGUUGCUUCCCCUUUCCCGUGCUGAAUGCCGCUGAGAGCCGCUGAACUAACGCAGUGGGAGGGCUGGCACAAAAAUAACAUCUCUGGCGAUGUUUGCGUCACCUGCGUGCUGCUCCCCCGGCAAAUGCUCUGCUGGCAGAUGUGCUCACAUUGUGAGGGACGCAUCUUCCUCCUGGAAACAGCAGCCACCUGCGCUUGGUGCGGAUGGCCCAGGCUGAAUCCUUCUCAGCAGUGGCGGUGGACAUCUGCUCAGUGCUGCCGUGCUGUCCCUCCAGGCAUCCUGGAGCGAUGCGUUUGUACUGAGGUCUCCACAGGAUCACAGCAUGUCAGGGAUUGGAAGGGACCUCGAAAGAUCAUCCCACCCUGCACAGAACGUCUUAACAUUGCUGGCUUUAUGCGGUUGCUCUGAUAUUUACUGCAUUUUAUUUCUGUACAAAGCUGGAGGUAAGAACAACAGCAGGAGGGACACAGACCAGCCUUGCAAUCAGAGUGCUUACAGAGAGACAGAGGACAGAAGAAUUUUGGGUCUGAGCUUUGCCAGACAGAUCCUCACUUUGCAUUUUGAAUCUGACACCCCAGGGGCUUUAUAUUUUCCCUGUGUCCAUCUGCUGACAGGAGGAGUUUCAGCUAGUGUUUGGGCUUGCAUUUUAGGGCAUGUGGAGAAACAAAUUAGCAGUUGCCGCCGGGACAGUAUUUUG